GUGACAGAAGAGUGUGAGCACCUAUGGUCCUCAUGCAAAUGGUUAUUUUUUUAUGCAUGAAGCUAUGUGUGCUCGCUCUCUAUCUGUCAU
Molecule: microRNA precursor, 90 nt
Filed under: Helianthus annuus (common sunflower)
Lineage: Eukaryota; Viridiplantae; Streptophyta; Magnoliopsida; Asterales; Asteraceae
Description: sRNA HanXRQr2_Chr12g0527211
Rfam family: mir-156 microRNA precursor family
About the family: This family represents the plant microRNA (miRNA) precursor mir-156.
Source: Rfam by way of RNAcentral